AUAGCAUUAUACCGCGAAACUGCGAAUGGCUCAUUAUAUAAGUUAUCGUUUAUUUGAUAAUACUUUACUACUUGGAUAACCGUGGUAAUUCUAGAGCUAAUACAUGCUAAAAAUCCCGACUUCGGAAGGGUUGUAUUUAUUAGAUUAAAAACCAAUGCCCCUCGGGGCUCUCUGGUGAAUCAUGAUAACUAGUCGAAUCGACAGGCCUUGUGCCGGCGAUGGCUCAUUCAAAUUUCUUCCCUAUCAACUUUCGAUGUUUGGGUCUUGUCCAAACAUGGUGGCAACGGGUAACGGAGGGUUAGGGCUCGACCCCGGAGAAGGAGCCUGAGAAACGGCUACUACAUCCAAGGAAGGCAGCAGGCGCGCAAAUUACCCAAUCCCGACACGGGGAGGUAGUGACAAUAAAUACUGAUACAGGGCUCUUUUGGGUCUUGUAAUCGGAAUGAGUACAAUUUAAAUCCCUUAACGAGGAACAAUUGGAGGGCAAGUCUGGUGCCAGCAGCCGCGGUAAUUCCAGCUCCAAUAGCGUAUAUUAAAGUUGUUGUGGUUAAAAAGCUCGUAGUUGAACCUUGGGCCUGGCUGGCCGGUCCGCCUCACCGCGUGCACUGGUCCGGCCGGGCCUUUCCCUCUGCGGAACCCCAUGCCCUUCACUGGGUGUGGCGGGGAAACAGGACUUUUACUUUGAAAAAAUUAGAGUGCUCAAGGCAGGCCUAUGCUCGAAUACAUUAGCAUGGAAUAAUAGAAUAGGACGUGUGGUUCUAUUUUGUUGGUUUCUAGGACCGCCGUAAUGAUUAAUAGGGACAGUCGGGGGCAUCAGUAUUCAAUUGUCAGAGGUGAAAUUCUUGGAUUUAUUGAAGACUAACUACUGCGAAAGCAUUUGCCAAGGAUGUUUUCAUUAAUCAGGAACGAAAGUUAGGGGAUCGAAGACGAUCAGAUACCGUCGUAGUCUUAACCAUAAACUAUGCCGACUAGGGAUCGGACGAUGUUACAUUUUUGACGCGUUCGGCACCUUACGAGAAAUCAAAGUGC
This 1029-nucleotide ribosomal RNA is filed under the name fungal sp. 2 AKV-2015. RNAcentral describes it as "SSU rRNA". It matches the Rfam family "Eukaryotic small subunit ribosomal RNA", at positions 66 to 1106 of the family's 1831-position model. The record is from RNAcentral. Lineage: Eukaryota; Fungi.